RNAcentral lists this transfer RNA (69 nucleotides) under Urocitellus parryii (Arctic ground squirrel). RNAcentral's name for it is "Spermophilus parryii (Arctic ground squirrel) tRNA". It matches the Rfam family "tRNA". Rfam says of the family: Transfer RNA (tRNA) molecules are approximately 80 nucleotides in length. Their secondary structure includes four short double-helical elements and three loops (D, anti-codon, and T loops). Further hydrogen bonds mediate the characteristic L-shaped molecular structure. tRNAs have two regions of fundamental functional importance: the anti-codon, which is responsible for specific mRNA codon recognition, and the 3' end, to which the tRNAs corresponding amino acid is attached (by aminoacyl-tRNA synthetases). tRNAs cope with the degeneracy of the genetic code in two manners: having more than one tRNA (with a specific anti-codon) for a particular amino acid; and 'wobble' base-pairing, i.e. permitting non-standard base-pairing at the 3rd anti-codon position. Lineage: Eukaryota; Metazoa; Chordata; Mammalia; Rodentia; Sciuridae. RNAcentral also lists the same sequence under 1 other name. The record is from Rfam by way of RNAcentral.
GGGGUUGUGGCUCAGUGGUAGAGCACUCGCCUACCACGCAUGAGGCACUGGGUUUGAUCCUCAGCACCA